RNAcentral lists this unclassified non-coding RNA (276 nucleotides) under plant metagenome. RNAcentral's name for it is "partial contains small subunit ribosomal RNA, internal transcribed spacer 1, and 5.8S ribosomal RNA". The stretch from base 228 to 276 matches the Rfam family "5.8S ribosomal RNA", at positions 1 to 49 of the family's 154-position model. The record is from RNAcentral.
UUUCCGUAGGUGAACCUGCGGAAGGAUCAUUAUCGAAAUACUUAUUUAGCGUUCCGUGCUAUCCCAUUGUUUUAUUUACCCUGUUGCUUCCACUGGAUGAGUUUCCAUACCUUAUGUUUGAGAAACUUUGGCUUGUGUAAGAUUCAUUCACGGCCAGCCAGUGAGAAGACCAUUUACAAAACCCUGUUAAGAACCAAUUGUCUGAAUAUUUUACUCCAAUGAAAUAAAACUUUCAACAACGGAUCUCUAGGCUCUUACAUCGAUGAAGAACGCAGC